UUGAGCGUCUUUAGAACGAACAACACAGUACACAGCGCACGCAAACCUGCAUUAUAAAAAGGAAGUAGGUUCACUUUUUGAUGGUAGAUGCAUUGUUGUCCACCUUCGUCGGUUCAACGUUGAAUGGGAAACGUCUGACACGUAGCAGUCUACGAGCGUUGCCCCGCCACUCACAGCCGUGUGGUCAGAUCCAGCAACGAGAGCACGUCGGUCUUCCAGACACAGGGAAUUGUUGCUUUGUCAACGCUACACUUAUAGCCCUGUUUUCUCUCGCGAAUUUUUGCCGUGAUUUUGUGCGAUCGGUAAAAACGUCUUCAACUCCGAAAUCCAGGUGGUGUACCGAAUUUUUGUUCAGCUGGUGGAAGUCCACAACAGGGGUUUGGCCGCGCUUAUUAACGAAAUUCAUUGGUAAGCAAUUUUUUCCCCGUCGAGCACACGCUACGUUUAGUUAGUAGAUUUGCUAUUUCGGACUAAAAUAUAUCUCAUGUACAGACUCACACGAAUGCAUAUGGUAGCUAAACUUUUAAUGAUUGUUUUUAUUGUGAGUUCAUGGCUCACUUGAGUGAAGUGGAUAGAAGGCUUUUGAUGGGACAGCAACAGGACGUCUACGAAUUCCUUAUGGGCUAUUUUCACGGUUGGAGGUUGAACUAUGCCUAACAACUUUCCGGCUUUUAUUGACAGACACUUCGCUUCUAUUCUUGUAAGAACGAACAUCCGCAACCAGUAAGCAACAGAGUUUCCCUAUUUAGUGACACG
Long non-coding RNA from Daphnia pulex (common water flea), 756 nucleotides. RefSeq lists it as uncharacterized. The record is from RefSeq and is a predicted model, not a curated record. Lineage: Eukaryota; Metazoa; Arthropoda; Branchiopoda; Diplostraca; Daphniidae. The transcript is spliced from 3 exons.